GCUGCGGCCUGGGGGCGUGGCCGCAGUCACCCCGCAGGCACCGCCGCCUGCCCGCACUCCGCUCCCCGUUCCACGGCUGCAGCAGACGCCGUGGGCUGUGUGGGCAUCCGCUGCAGCCUGCUCCAGGCACAGACACUAGAGGUCGUUAUUGACCUCUAGUGUCUGUGCGGCAUUAUGGGAGAGACGUCAUUGACGUCUCUCCCAUAGAGAGUAGCGGGCGGCCAGACUGACGGAGCAGCAGCAGCAGCAGCAGCAGCAGAAGAAGCAGGAGCGGGGCAGUGGGCAGAGCAGACUGCAGCCAGAAAGGACUCACAUCCCACAUACAGUCCCUCCAGACCUCCAGUCCAUGGACCUAUCUGCUAACUCCGUCCAGUUCUUACAACCGCUCCCUGGGAGAUUUUCAGGUUUACUCCACCUCAACCUAUCAGGCGUAUCCUGGCAACGAUCCCACACGCCCCCGCAUGACGGCUCGGAGAGUGGGCAUCUGGUCAUGUGACCGCAGCUGAGACCGGAAGCCUGGAUCCCGGAAGCUGAACGGAGGUGCGGUGAAGACGGCUGGAGAGGCGCCAGAUUUGCGGGUAUAACACAGUUUACAGGAUGCAUUCAAAGCUACCCCAGCACAGACCUCAGAUGGCUGCCGCCUGAAGUUGCAUGGAUGGGAGAAGGAAAUGUCACUCUGGGAUCGUUCCUGGCUGUUUUAUUCUGUAACCAAUUAAUAUUUUAUGUGCAGAAAGGUUCAUUAAUGUGUAGUUCCCACAGAGUCUCCUGAUGUCCUCACAUUACUUGACACUUGCUCAGCCAUCUCUCACAAGUUCCUCUAGGCUAAUGUUGGGACAAGGGAAGUGACCUCACAGCCGGUAUAUUACACAGAACAUGAGGCAAAGGCAGCCGCCUGAGGCCGAGCUCCGAAUGUCUCAGCUGACUUCAGAAAAAGUAGAAUCCCCCACAAAAAAAAUAUUUGUAUUCUUAAAGCGAAUAUGGGGUCUAUUUAAUAAGCUCUAAAAUGCCUUCUCCAGAAAAUAAAGAGGCGGUAUUCUCUGGAUAUAUUAUGCUUUUUUGCACUUUUGAAAGGCCUCUUCCGGCGGUAGCCAUACCCAGCUAUAGCUUCCCCAUGUAAAGCAGGUAGUGUAGAUAUCUAUCACAUAUGUAACACCAGGGGAUGCUGAUAGUGAUGACUGACUAAGGCUAAAAUACUUUAUUUUUCUAUUGUCAAUUUGAAAAAUUCAUUUUAUUUAUUAUUUUUAAAAUAUAUUUAGGAGCCCAUUUAUCAAAUAGGUCCAAAAAGACCGAUUUCCUAUCUCCACUUAUUGCAGAAAUAGAACAUUUUCCGGGGUCCCUUCCCUUAUGUGCAUAAUAUAAAGAAACUUGUAUUGCGCUUCAGGGUAUUAGUGCUGUUAGAUGGUAGGAUAUGAUUGGCUGAGAGCAGUUUAUAUUCCUCUUCAGCCACAACGAACGCCCCCCACCCCCCAAUUCUUACUGCUGCUACCUGGAGAGAGUGAGAUCGAUAGGUUAUGCCUCCAUGGACCAUACAUGCAAUUUACUUAUUUUAACCUAGCGAUGAUAUAUA
This is a long non-coding RNA of Pseudophryne corroboree (corroboree frog), 1567 nucleotides long. RefSeq lists it as uncharacterized. The transcript has 4 exons. Lineage: Eukaryota; Metazoa; Chordata; Amphibia; Anura; Myobatrachidae. The record is from RefSeq and is a predicted model, not a curated record.